AAAGGAAUUGACGGGGGCCCGCACAAGCGGUGGAGCAUGUGGUUUAAUUCGAAGCAACGCGAAGAACCUUACCAGGUCUUGACAUCCUCUGACAACCCUAGAGAUAGGGCUUUCCCUUCGGGGACAGAGUGACAGGUGGUGCAUGGUUGUCGUCAGCUCGUGUCGUGAGAUGUUGGGUUAAGUCCCGCAACGAGCGCAACCCUUGAUCUUAGUUGCCAGCAUUCAGUUGGGCACUCUAAGGUGACUGCCGGUGACAAACCGGAGGAAGGUGGGGAUGACGUCAAAUCAUCAUGCCCCUUAUGACCUGGGCUACACACGUGCUACAAUGGACAGAACAAAGGGCUGCGAGACCGCAAGGUUUAGCCAAUCCCACAAAUCUGUUCUCAGUUCGGAUCGCAGU
This 400-nucleotide ribosomal RNA is filed under the name Bacillus safensis. RNAcentral's name for it is "bacterial SSU rRNA". It matches the Rfam family "Bacterial small subunit ribosomal RNA", at positions 903 to 1304 of the family's 1533-position model. The record is from RNAcentral. Lineage: Bacteria; Bacillati; Bacillota; Bacilli; Caryophanales; Bacillaceae.